This 900-nucleotide long non-coding RNA is filed under the name Pongo abelii (Sumatran orangutan). Its description in RNAcentral is "lincRNA". Lineage: Eukaryota; Metazoa; Chordata; Mammalia; Primates; Hominidae. The record is from RNAcentral.
CCUGCCUUUGCUUCUCCUUUGUCUUCUGCCAUGAGUAUGAGGCCUCCCCAGCCAUGUGGAACUCAAAGACUUGACUGAAGUCACGGGUCUCAUCAUUCCUUUCCUAAGCUUUCUUCAAACAGCAUGAUGCGUGGACGAGAACACAUGUGCUCUGUAGAAGGUGGGGCCACAAAGCCCUGCCGACUGACCUUUCCUGCUUUCUGCCUCUAAGGUGCAACCCUGAAAGCACCUGCUGGAACCUCUGGGGCUCAGGGAGUGCAGCCUGGAAGCAGCAGGAUAUUCCCCAGGGCUGCAGUCCACCUCGGAAGCUGCUCACCACAGGUGUCUGCUUACACUUCGAUUCAGAUCACAUAAAAUAAAAUGCAGCUCUUAGACUUCUGAGCCACCCUUCAAGAGCACAGCCACUCAUGGCUAAUGGCUGCUGACUGGAACCCUGGAUGGCCCAAUCUAGAACUUUUCAUCACCCCAGAGCAUCCUGGGCAGUGCUUCUCCCGGGGAGCCCUGCAGGCAGUGACCUCCGGCUCUGAGCCUGAUCCCGCAUGAGCAGGAAGAAGACAGCCCAGGGAGGCUGCUCACAGCCGCAAGCUCAUUUCUCAUGGGAAAUCACAAAUGGGAGAUGCCAAGAAAUUAGAAUAGAGGAUGCUCCAGAGCAGACGCUCCUGUUUACAGAGCUGAAACUCAGUACUCAUUAAACAACUCCCUCCUGCAGCCACGCUGGGAGCUGACACUCUCCACACAUGCUUCAUGCACCCAGCCGCUCAUCCAGGGAUCAUCCUGUACCUCAAAUACCCCUAAGAACUGUCAAGCCCCAGGACCUUUGCACAUGCUGGAUGUACUACCUGUGAUGCCCUCUUCUGGCUCACCACGUGGCUGGCUCCGUCUCAUUCAUUGGUCUCAGCC